This is a non-coding RNA of Oryza sativa Japonica Group (Japanese rice), 577 nucleotides long. The record is from RefSeq and is a predicted model, not a curated record. Lineage: Eukaryota; Viridiplantae; Streptophyta; Magnoliopsida; Poales; Poaceae.
ACUUCACCCCAGAGCCAAGAAAUCAAAGUGGGAGAGUUUCCCCUUGCUCUCCUCGCCUUCAUCUUCUUGCUGGCCGUCGGGAUGACUCCAUAACUGCCGCCCAAUGGCCGAUCCCCAGGAACACCGACCUCGCCACGGGAGCUCUGGAGCGUGGCCACACCGUCGUCAAAGCGCAGCCGUGGGAUCAUGUCGCCAUUCCCGUCGCCUUAAGCUGAAUCCGGCUGAGUUGCUGCGCCACUGAUUUUGCCUCAUCGUCUUCUACAAAAUGCCCCAAGAAUCUCACGGAUCUAUGCAGCGAGGAGGGAGAUCGACCACCGCCUUCUCCGACUCCGACCUAGCCCCCCCGUCGUCGAUUCCUGUUCAAGCGGUGAGCCAUUUGUCGAUUGUUUGCAGUAGUACCAACCUUAGGUGGUGUUCUAUGUCAUAAUCACGCCGGAGAGACGAUGUAAACCACGUCGCCGAUGAGAUCACGGCCAACACACACACAAAAAAAAAACUCAUGCGAACAGAGGAACACGGUCUUGUUUGGUGCUGCUGAAUUGACAGCUUUUCCAGACUAUUCCAUUGCUUAAAAUAA